Molecule: long non-coding RNA, 520 nt
Organism: Haliotis rufescens (red abalone)
Lineage: Eukaryota; Metazoa; Mollusca; Gastropoda; Lepetellida; Haliotidae
Exons: 3
Source: RefSeq, a predicted model, not a curated record
UGCAUACUAGGCAUAGUGUGUCCCCUAAAAGGUAUAUAACAUCACAAGUGCUAUGAGUGGUCAAGACAACAGUCUGUGCCAAAGUGUCGUGACUUCAAAAGGUAAGAAACAAAAUGCUUGGAAAAAUAAUGGUUUUCCUGCUCAUCGCUGUUGCUAUGACGACGGCGUUCUAUCUACCUUACUAUGGAUAUGACGAUGAUUUUUAUGACGAUAUCUAUGAUGACUUCGAUGACUUCGAUGACUUCGAUGACUUCUAUGACGAUGAUUUCUAUCCAUAUCGACCCUAUCGGUUCUUCGGCUAAGAGCCAACCAUCUGCAAGUGCCAACCAUUACUACUGGAUGUCAAAGUGCUGAAUAAGUGUUCAACAACCCUGUCACUGACUACGAGGAUCCAGAUUCAAGCAUCGAUCUACAAAUAUGGUUUCAGGCGAUGGAAGUAUAAUGUUAUUACCCUGUCGUAUUUAAUUAUAAACAUUUUAUACUUUUAUCAUAAAUAAAUAUUUCAUAGUUUCUUAAAAAA